Molecule: non-coding RNA, 1518 nt
Organism: Phalacrocorax carbo (great cormorant)
Lineage: Eukaryota; Metazoa; Chordata; Aves; Suliformes; Phalacrocoracidae
Source: RefSeq, a predicted model, not a curated record
AUAAUCUAAGUGGUAUCCUUUUUGAAAAAAAGCCAGAAGCCCUCCCUGCCAGAGGGAAGGGGGUGUCAGGGAAGCAAUGGGGAGAUCCAGCCCCAGGCAGGGAACACAGGCGGGAUCCCGCAGCCGCCCCCCUCCCACCACCACCUCCCGGGGCACCUCAGCGAAACUGCGACCCGCGGGACCGCGGCGGGGCCGCGCCCGCGGGCUCUGCCCUCUCCCGAGCGGGCACCGCCGCCGCCAGACUCCGCCUGGCACGGUGGCCCCGCCGCCCCCCCCCGACCUCACCGGCCGGACGCACCUGGGCUGCGGAGCGGGGCGGGGCGGGGCGCGGAGAAACCCACCGGCCCCGCGCCCGCCGCGGCAGCGCCCGCCGGGGAACGGCUCCCGGCGGGAUGGGGGGGGGGGGAAAGGAGAGGGACGGGACGGAGCCGAGGGAAGCGGGUGAGGCGCAGGGCUGCCCCGCCGCUGCCGCCGCCGCCGCCGCAGCAGCAGCAGCGAAAAGCCCAACAGCCGGGAGGUGACAGUUCAGCUCGUGAAGCGUUGAACAUGUCCCCAGCACUCAAGUGUUUCUCCAACCUGUACAAAACCAUAAUCUCCACUCGCAGUUUGUGUUGCCGGUGUCUGUGAGGCUUGCACUUACCAGCUUUGCUCACACAAAUUAAAAAUGCAGUUAACUAAAGCCACUUUCAAGGAAACAUCAAAUAUCAGACCCACCAUGGCAAAAUGCUGUUCUGCAAGUUAUGGAUGCUUCAACUCUGCUCCCAUUUUUUUGUGGCUGCAGCAACCAUCCUUCACCGAAAUGGCAAGUGGUUCACUCCACAAGAUUCACCUGGUACGGGAGUUUGUGGGGAUGCAAUUGGGAUGAGGCUUUUUUGCGCAUCCCCACCACAGAACUGCUAGCUGUCCUGUCUGCCCAGCACUUCUAAGCCAAACAGAGCCCUGCCUGGAGGGAAGUAACAGAAGCAGUGGUGCUUGGUCUGUAAGAAAUAGUUUGACUGUCUUAUUUAACAAGACUUGUUUAGGCUAUGAAAAGUACCAGUGAUCUAGAGCUUACCUACUCUCUGCCUCUUAGUUUAAAAAUAGGUUUUCUGUGCUGCUUAGCCACCUGCUGUAUGCAUUACCACUGCCCUUUCUUCUGGCUUCCUAAAAAUAUGUGGGUAGAUUGCAAGAUACACAUUCUGCUUUUACAGAGCCAGGGCUCAGCCUAAUUAUAACCUGCAAAAUCAGGAUGUGACUGUUUUGACUUGCAGAAACAAAGAUGAAUAAUUGAGUUGUUUACAUUCAAUUUGUUUAGAUACUCUGACCUCAGUCCACUUUUUACUGUAAUUAACUAUGUUUAUUACAGUGCUGAUACCUGAUGAAAGAACCUAUCUGUGCAAGCCAUCAUUUGCAUUGUAUUUUCCGAUGAAGUAAAUUGACUUUUAGUGAAGUAAAACCACUUUUGUUGUUCUUUUGUAAUUCUAAAGUCAGCAUGUAACUUUUCCAUGACAAGAAAAUAGUACACAGAAUAAAGUUAAA